This 837-nucleotide ribosomal RNA is filed under the name Teratosphaeria xenocryptica. Its description in RNAcentral is "LSU rRNA". It matches the Rfam family "Eukaryotic large subunit ribosomal RNA", at positions 74 to 945 of the family's 3401-position model. The record is from RNAcentral. Lineage: Eukaryota; Fungi; Ascomycota; Dothideomycetes; Mycosphaerellales; Teratosphaeriaceae.
AUUGCCCUAGUAACGGCGAGUGAAGCGGCAACAGCUCAAAUUUGAAAUCUGGCGCAAGCCCGAGUUGUAAUUUGGAGAGGAUGCUUCAGGGCAGCGGCCGGUCUAAGUUCCUUGGAACAGGACGUCAUAGAGGGUGAGAAUCCCGUAUGCGACCGGUUGGCACCCGUCACGUAGCUCCUUCGACGAGUCGAGUUGUUUGGGAAUGCAGCUCUAAAUGGGAGGUAAAUUUCUUCUAAAGCUAAAUAUUGGCCAGAGACCGAUAGCGCACAAGUAGAGUGAUCGAAAGAUGAAAAGCACUUUGGAAAGAGAGUUAAAAAGCACGUGAAAUUGUUGAAAGGGAAGCGCAUGCAAUCAGACUUGUCGGCGGUGUUCCGCCGGUCUUUCGACCGGUCUACUCGCCGCCGGCAGGCCAGCAUCAUCUGGGUGCGCCGGACAAAGGCGCAAAAAUUACUCCUCGGAGUGUUAUAGCCCCGCGCACAAUACGGCGCCGCCCGGGUGAGGUCCGCGCUUCGGCUAGGAUGCUGGCGUAAUGGGUUGUAUGCGGCCCGUCUUGAAACACGGACCAAGGAGUCUAACAUCUAUGCGAGUGUUCGGGUGUCAAACCCCUACGCGGAAUGAAAGUGAACGGAGGUGGGAAGCGCAAGCUGCACCAUCGACCGAUCCUGAUGUCUUCGGAUGGAUUUGAGUAAGAGCAUAGCUGUUGGGACCCGAAAGAUGGUGAACUAUGCCUGAAUAGGGUGAAGCCAAAGGAAACUCUGGUGGAGGCUCGCAGCGGUUCUGACGUGCAAUCGAUCGUCAAAUUUGGGUAUAGGGGGCGAAAGACUAAUCGAACCAUCU